GAUGAACGCCGGCGGCGUGUCUAAUACAUGCAAGUCGAGCGAACAGACCAGGAGCUUGCUCCUCUCACGUUAGCGGCUGACGGGUGAGUAACACCUGGAUCACCUACCUAUAAUACUGGGAUAACUUCGCGAAACCGAAGCUAAUACCGUCUAAUCUAUUGCACCACAUGGUUCAAUAGUGAAAGACUGUUUUGCUAUCACUUAUAGAUGGAUCCUCGCCGCAUUAUCUAGUUGGUAAGGUAACGGCUUACCAAGGCAACGAUGCGUAGCCGACCUGAGAGGGUGAUCGGCCACACCGGAACUGAGCCACGGUCCAGACUCCUCCGGGAGGCAGCAGUAGGGAAUCUUCCGCAAUGGGCGAAAGCCUGACGGAGCAACGCAGCGUGAGUGAUGAAGGUCUUCGGAUCGUAAAACUCUGUUAUUCGGGAAGAACAAAUGUGUAAGUAACUAUGCACGUCUUGACGGUACCUAAUCAGAAAGCCACGGCUAACUACGUG
RNAcentral lists this ribosomal RNA (497 nucleotides) under uncultured bacterium. RNAcentral's name for it is "partial 16S ribosomal RNA". It matches the Rfam family "Bacterial small subunit ribosomal RNA", at positions 28 to 507 of the family's 1533-position model. The record is from RNAcentral.